Molecule: ribosomal RNA, 492 nt
Filed under: uncultured bacterium
Lineage: Bacteria
Description: partial 16S ribosomal RNA
Rfam family: Bacterial small subunit ribosomal RNA
Source: RNAcentral
AGUGAACGCUGGCGGUAGGCCUAACACAUGCAAGUCGAACGGCAGCACAGUAAGAGCUUGCUCUUACGGGUGGCGAGUGGCGGACGGGUGAGGAAUACAUCGGAAUCUACUUUUUCGGGGGGGAUAACGUAGGGAAACUUACGCUAAUACCGCAUACGACCUACGGGUGAAAGCAGGGGAUCUUCGGACCUUGCGCGAUUGAAUGAGCCGAUGUCGGAUUAGCUAGUUGGCGGGGUAAAGGCCCACCAAGGCGACGAUCGGUAGCUGGUCUGAGAGGAUGAUCGGCCGCACUGGAACUGGGACACGGUCCAGGCUCCUAAGGGAGGCCGCAGUGGGGAAUAUUGGACAAUGGGCGCAAGCCUGGUCCAGCCAUACCGCGUGGGUGAAGAAGGCCUUCGGGUUGUAAAGCCCUUUUGUUGGGAAAGAAAAGCAGCAGGUUAAUACCCCGCUGUUCUGACGGUACCCAAAGAAUAAGCACCGGCUAACUUCGUG